Molecule: ribosomal RNA, 468 nt
Filed under: uncultured bacterium
Lineage: Bacteria
Description: SSU rRNA
Rfam family: Bacterial small subunit ribosomal RNA
Source: RNAcentral
AGGACUAACGCUGGCGGCGUGCCUAACACAUGCAAGUCGAACGAGAGUAGCAAUACUCUAGUGGCAGACGGGUGAGUAACACGUGGUCAACCUACCUCUAUGUGGGGGAUAACUAGCCGAAAGGUUAGCUAAUACCGCAUACGAUCGUCGAGCGGCAUCGCUUGACGAUGAAAGGAGCAAUCCGCAGAGAGACGGGACCGCGUCCCAUUAGCUAGUUGGUGGGGUAAUGGCCUACCAAGGCGACGAUGGGUAGCUGGCUUGAGAGAGCGACCAGCCACACUGGGACUGAGACACGGCCCAGACUCCUACGGGAGGCAGCAGUGAGGAAUUUUCCGCAAUGGGCGAAAGCCUGACGGAGCGACGCCGCGUGUGGGAAGAAGGCCUUCGGGUCGUAACCACUGUCGAAGGGGAAGAGUAUUGACGGUACCCUUGGAGGAAGCCCCGGCUAACGUACGUGCCAGCAGCCGC